CUGGGUGAUGCAAACAGUUAAUGCAUUUGGCUGCUAACUAAAAGGCUGGAGGUUCAAGUCCACCCAGA
This 68-nucleotide transfer RNA is filed under the name Loxodonta africana (African savanna elephant). It matches the Rfam family "tRNA". Rfam says of the family: Transfer RNA (tRNA) molecules are approximately 80 nucleotides in length. Their secondary structure includes four short double-helical elements and three loops (D, anti-codon, and T loops). The record is from Rfam by way of RNAcentral. Lineage: Eukaryota; Metazoa; Chordata; Mammalia; Proboscidea; Elephantidae.